Molecule: ribosomal RNA, 464 nt
Filed under: Vibrio fluvialis
Lineage: Bacteria; Pseudomonadati; Pseudomonadota; Gammaproteobacteria; Vibrionales; Vibrionaceae
Description: bacterial SSU rRNA
Rfam family: Bacterial small subunit ribosomal RNA
Source: RNAcentral
UAAUUGAAGAGUUUGAUCAUGGCUCAGAUUGAACGCUGGCGGCAGGCCUAACACAUGCAAGUCGAGCGGCAGCGACAACAUUGAACCUUCGGGGGAUUUGUUGGGCGGCGAGCGGCGGACGGGUGAGUAAUGCCUGGGAAAUUGCCCUGAUGUGGGGGAUAACCAUUGGAAACGAUGGCUAAUACCGCAUGAUAGCUUCGGCUCAAAGAGGGGGACCUUCGGGCCUCUCGCGUCAGGAUAUGCCCAGGUGGGAUUAGCUAGUUGGUGAGGUAAGGGCUCACCAAGGCGACGAUCCCUAGCUGGUCUGAGAGGAUGAUCAGCCACACUGGAACUGAGACACGGUCCAGACUCCUACGGGAGGCAGCAGUGGGGAAUAUUGCACAAUGGGCGCAAGCCUGAUGCAGCCAUGCCGCGUGUAUGAAGAAGGCCUUCGGGUUGUAAAGUACUUUCAGCAGUGAGGAAGG